UUUUCGGAUGGAAGCUGGAUUGACUGAGUGGCGGACGGGUGAGUAACGCGUGGAUAACCUGCCUCACACUGGGGGAUAACAGUUAGAAAUGACUGCUAAUACCGCAUAAGCGCACGCUACCGCAUGGUAGCGUGUGAAAAACUCCGGUGGUGUGAGAUGGAUCCGCGUCUGAUUAGCCAGUUGGCGGGGUAACGGCCCACCAAAGCGACGAUCAGUAGCCGACCUGAGAGGGUGACCGGCCACAUUGGAACUGAGACACGGUCCAAACUCC
This 271-nucleotide ribosomal RNA is filed under the name uncultured Eubacteriales bacterium. Its description in RNAcentral is "uncultured Clostridiales bacterium partial 16S ribosomal RNA". It matches the Rfam family "Bacterial small subunit ribosomal RNA", at positions 55 to 339 of the family's 1533-position model. Lineage: Bacteria; Bacillati; Bacillota; Clostridia; Eubacteriales. The record is from RNAcentral.